ACGCUCGACACCUACGGGAUGCAGCAGUGGGGAAUAUUGCACAAUGGGGGAAACCCUGAUGCAGCGACGCCGCGUGGAGGAAGAAGGUCUUCGGAUUGUAAACUCCUGUUGUUGGGGAAAAAGAGGAUGGUACCCAACAAGGAAGUGACGGCUAACUACGUGCCAACAGCCGCGGUAAUCUGAGCGGGCUGGCAAGGC
Molecule: ribosomal RNA, 198 nt
Filed under: uncultured bacterium
Lineage: Bacteria
Description: partial 16S ribosomal RNA
Rfam family: Bacterial small subunit ribosomal RNA
Source: RNAcentral